GACGAACGCUGGCGGCGUGCUUAACACAUGCAAGUCGAACGGAAAGGCCCUGCUUUUGUGGGUUGCUCGAUUGGCGAACGGGUGAGUAACACGUGAGUAACCUGCCCUUGACUUUGGGAUAACUUCAGGAAACUGGGGCUAAUACCGGUUAGGAGCUCCUGCUGCAUGUUGGGGGUUGGUAAGUUUCGGCGGUUGUGGAUGGACUCGCGGCUUAUCAGCUUGUUGGUGGGGUAGUGGCUUACCAAGGCUUUGACGGGUAGCCGGCCUGAGAGGGUGAACGGCCACAUUGGGACUGAGAGACGGACCAGACUCCUACGGGAGGCAGCAGGGGGGAAUAUUGCACAAUGGGCGGAAGCCUGAUGCAGCAACGCCGCGUGCGGGAUGACGGCCUUCGGGUUGUAAACCGAUGUCGACUGUGACGAAGAGUGAGUGACGGUAAUGGGUAAAGAAGCACCGGCUAACUACGUG
This 468-nucleotide ribosomal RNA is filed under the name uncultured bacterium. Its description in RNAcentral is "partial 16S ribosomal RNA". It matches the Rfam family "Bacterial small subunit ribosomal RNA", at positions 28 to 507 of the family's 1533-position model. The record is from RNAcentral.